AGUGAACGCUGGCGGUAGGCCUAACACAUGCAAGUCGAACGGUAGCACAGAGGAGCUUGCUCCUUGGGUGGCGAGUGGCGGACGGGUGAGGAAUACAUCGGAAUCUACUCUGUCGUGGGGGAUAACGUAGGGAAACUUACGCUAAUACCGCAUACGACCUACGGGUGAAAGCAGGGGAUCUUCGGACCUUGCGCGAUUGAAUGAGCCGAUGUCGGAUUAGCUAGUUGGUGGGGUGAAGGCCCACCAAGGCGACGAUCCGUAGCUGGUCUGAGAGGAUGAUCAGCCACACUGGAACUGAGACACGGUCCAGACUCCUACGGGAGGCAGCAGUGGGGAAUAUUGGACAAUGGGCGCAAGCCUGAUCCAGCCAUACCGCGUGGGUGAAGAAGGCCUUCGGGUUGUAAAGCCCUUUUGUUGGGAAAGAAAUCCAUCUGGUUAAUACCCGGGUGGGAUGACGGUACCCAAAGAAUAAGCACCGGCUAACUUCGUGCCAGCCGCCGCCGUAA
RNAcentral lists this ribosomal RNA (506 nucleotides) under uncultured bacterium. RNAcentral describes it as "partial 16S ribosomal RNA". It matches the Rfam family "Bacterial small subunit ribosomal RNA", at positions 29 to 523 of the family's 1533-position model. The record is from RNAcentral.